RNAcentral lists this ribosomal RNA (1280 nucleotides) under Flammula alnicola. RNAcentral's name for it is "eukaryotic LSU rRNA". The stretch from base 317 to 1280 matches the Rfam family "Eukaryotic large subunit ribosomal RNA", at positions 1 to 950 of the family's 3401-position model. Lineage: Eukaryota; Fungi; Basidiomycota; Agaricomycetes; Agaricales; Strophariaceae. The record is from RNAcentral.
GAUAAGUAAUGUGAAUUGCAGAAUUCAGUGAAUCAUCGAAUCUUUGAACGCACCUUGCGCUCCUUGGUAUUCCGAGGAGCAUGCCUGUUUGAGUGUCAUUAAAUUCUCAACCUUACCAGCUUUUGCGAGUUCGGUAAUGGCUUGGAUGUGGGGGUUUUGUGCCGGCUUCCUAGUGAAGUCAGCUCCCCUUAAAUGUAUUAGCCGGUGCCCUUUGUGGACUGUCUAUUGGUGUGAUAAUUAUCUACGCCGUGGACUUCUGCUUUGAAUGGGUGCACUGCUUCUAACCGUCUGUUCAUUCGGACAAUACUUGACAAUUUGACCUCAAAUCAGGUAGGACUACCCGCUGAACUUAAGCAUAUCAAUAAGCGGAGGAAAAGAAACUAACAAGGAUUCCCCUAGUAACUGCGAGUGAAGCGGGAAAAGCUCAAAUUUAAAAUCUGGCGGUCUUUGGCCGUCCGAGUUGUAAUCUAGAGAAGUGUUAUCCGCGCUGGACCGUGUACAAGUCUCCUGGAAUGGAGCGUCAUAGAGGGUGAGAAUCCCGUCUUUGACACGGACUGCCAGGGCUUUGUGAUGCGCUCUCAAAGAGUCGAGUUGUUUGGGAAUGCAGCUCAAAAUGGGUGGUAAAUUCCAUCUAAAGCUAAAUAUUGGCGAGAGACCGAUAGCGAACAAGUACCGUGAGGGAAAGAUGAAAAGAACUUUGGAAAGAGAGUUAAACAGUACGUGAAAUUGCUGAAAGGGAAACGCUUGAAGUCAGUCGCGUUGGCCGGGGAUCAACCUUGCUUUUGCUGGGCGUACUUUCCGGUCGACGGGUCAGCAUCAAUUUUGAUCGUUGGAUAAAGGUUGGGGGAAUGUGGCAUCUUCGGAUGUGUUAUAGCCCUUCGUCGCAUACAACGGUUGGGAUUGAGGAACUCAGCACGCCGCAAGGCCGGGUACUUGUACCACGUUCGUGCUUAGGAUGCUGGCAUAAUGGCUUUAAUCGACCCGUCUUGAAACACGGACCAAGGAGUCUAACAUGCCUGCGAGUGUUUGGGUGGAAAACCCGAGCGCGUAAUGAAAGUGAAAGUUGAGAUCCCUGUCGUGGGGAGCAUCGACGCCCGGACCAGACCUUUUGUGACGGAUCCGCGGUAGAGCAUGUAUGUUGGGACCCGAAAGAUGGUGAACUAUGCCUGAAUAGGGUGAAGCCAGAGGAAACUCUGGUGGAGGCUCGUAGCGAUUCUGACGUGCAAAUCGAUCGUCAAAUUUGGGUAUAGGGGCGAAAGACUAAUCGAACCAUCUAGUAG